Molecule: non-coding RNA, 45 nt
Filed under: Schistosoma mansoni
Lineage: Eukaryota; Metazoa; Platyhelminthes; Trematoda; Strigeidida; Schistosomatidae
Source: RNAcentral
AUCCGACUGACGAGUCCAGGAUAGGACGGAACGCGCGUCCUGGAU